GAUGAACGCUGGCGGCGUGCCUAAUACAUGCAAGUCGAGCGAACAGACGAGGAGCUUGCUCCUCUGACGUUAGCGGCGGACGGGUGAGUAACACGUGGAUAACCUACCUAUAAGACUGGGAUAACUUCGGGAAACCGGAGCUAAUACCGGAUAAUAUAUUGAACCGCAUGGUUCAAUAGUGAAAGACGGUUUUGCUGCCACUUAUAGAUGGAUCCGCGCCGCAUUAGCUAGUUGGUAAGGUAACGGCUUACCAAGGCAACGAUGCGUAGCCGACCUGAGAGGGUGAUCGGCCACACUGGAACUGAGACACGGUCCAGACUCCUACGGGAGGCAGCAGUAGGGAAUCUUCCGCAAUGGGCGAAAGCCUGACGGAGCAACGCCGCGUGAGUGAUGAAGGUCUUCGGAUCGUAAAACUCUGUUAUUAGGGAAGAACAAAUGUGUAAGUAACUAUGCACGUCUUGACGGUACCUAACCAGAAAGCCACGGCUAACUACGUG
Molecule: ribosomal RNA, 497 nt
Filed under: uncultured bacterium
Lineage: Bacteria
Description: partial 16S ribosomal RNA
Rfam family: Bacterial small subunit ribosomal RNA
Source: RNAcentral